GCUUCUUAGUAACGCGAUCAACAUCUUCCAAGAAAUAUUUGUCUUUCAAUGCAUGUGAAAAAACCUCCCAUGAAUUCCCAUAACGAUUCGUAAUCGAUGUAAUGUGGUCUCUUAUCUCCGGUAUCAUGCCAAGUCCAAAUAGUUCAACCAUUUUCUUCUCUGAAACCCAAUUUAAUUCCAUUUCAUGAACAUAACAUCUUAAAUACCUUGAAAUAUUCCUCCCAUCAAAUUGAUCAAUUUUAUUGACCACUGCUUGCAAUGCUUUGGUU
Molecule: long non-coding RNA, 269 nt
Filed under: Physcomitrium patens
Lineage: Eukaryota; Viridiplantae; Streptophyta; Bryopsida; Funariales; Funariaceae
Description: long non-coding RNA (PPAT_LNC013149)
Source: RNAcentral